AUGACCACCAGGCUCCUUUUCAGCAUGGUGCUUUGCUUCUUGAGAGCAGAACCAACAAAUGCUGGAGUUAUCCAGACACCCAGAUCCAAGGUGAUGGAAAAGGGACAAGAAGCAACUCUGAGAUGUGAACCAAUUUCAGGACACAGUAGUGUUUCCUGGUACAAGCAGACCUCUGUGCGGGGAAUGGAAUUCCUGAUUUCCUUUCAAAACCAGGAGCCUAUAGAUAACACGGGAAUGCCCAAGGAACGAUUCUCAGCUCAGAUGCCCAGUGCGAAGCUCUCCACUCUGAAGAUCCAGACAACACAGCCCCAGGACUCAGCUGUGUAUCUCUGUGCCAGCAGCUUAGCCACAGAGCUACAGAGUCAUAUCCGACCGGGGCAGAAACCGUAUGCUUCCCCUUCCCGGCCCAUCUCACGGAAAGAGUUCUCAGCAGUGAUCCUGGGGACUUCUCAGAACAGGAAGGAUGUCUUGUCUGUCCCCAGAGAAGACAAGAGCAUGUGCUAA
Cricetulus griseus (Chinese hamster) is the source of this 504-nucleotide non-coding RNA. The record is from the annotation of a RefSeq genome assembly. Lineage: Eukaryota; Metazoa; Chordata; Mammalia; Rodentia; Cricetidae.